AUGGUUGGACUCAUAGGGAGGGAGCCAGGGGUACAAGGGAAGUCCACCGGUGCAAGUUAUCAUUGGAUUGCUGAACACUUUGGGGAAUGCCCGGCUGAUGCGGACAAUGAAACAGUGCAGCAGUAUACCAGGGCAUACUUGUGGUAUGUAGUCAGUCUAACUCUUUUCUAUGACGGCACUGGCGUGAACGCUUCCUUUACGUGGCUUAAGCUGUUUGCUGGGUGGGAGCAUGGACUCAGUUUGGGUACAUCGGCUUUGGCUUAUUUGUAUCGUCAGGUAAGUAGUUUUGCUUAUAAUAGUGUGUUCACCAUGUAG
This 315-nucleotide ribosomal RNA is filed under the name Triticum aestivum (bread wheat). RNAcentral's name for it is "partial small subunit ribosomal RNA". The record is from RNAcentral. Lineage: Eukaryota; Viridiplantae; Streptophyta; Magnoliopsida; Poales; Poaceae.